CUAGCCUAAGCCUAAACCUUAGGGUGAAACCUUAAACCUAAGUGAUCCCAACCCUAGGUUAAAACCCUAACCCUAAAUAGCGUGUAAGCUUAGACCUAACUGUAUAACUUUACAAUUCAUGAUAGGGUUUGAUUAUAAGGAAACUCACACUCUCUAGCAACACUGGUAUGCGAUUCAAAGUAUAAGGUGAUAAUUCUUCCCCUUGAGCUUUCCAUCUUCUCAUUAGCGUAAGUUAUAGUUUUUAUUUAAAUUCAUAAUUGAUAUCUCCCUUUAUAAUUACAUGUGUUAGCUGGUGAAAAUUAAAUUGUUGUAUUACAUGCUUUAUGAUUAUCCUGUAUAAUUGUUCAUGCUUGUGUUCUUUUCGUGGAUUGCUUAUGAAACUUAAACUGGUACAUUAGUGGGAAAUUUUCACAUAUGAAUGUACACCCAUACUUGGGAUGUAACUUGACUAGUUGUGAUUGUAAUGGACCUUUAACUUGGUGGUUAUUAAGUGAUGGUCUAGAUGGAUCAUUGAUGUGGGCCUACCAUCUAGGGUUGUUGUGCCCAAUGGUUUUUAAGGAUGGUCUUUAUCGUAUGGUUUUGAUAUUGGCCCUAUGUGGCAUAUUUUGAUACUUGCCCUACGUGGUUUUAUUUUGAUACUUGCCUUAGAUGGAUUCGAUGUUUUAUAUAGUGCAACCAUGCGAUGAUAAGCCCCAUAUAUUUAAUAUGAUUGGCCACUAGUCGACGGGAUACCAUUAAACAUCCUAAGGUGGUAGUCUCAUGAGCCGGGGAUGGUAGUAUGGGACCUAUGCCCGAGCUGUCGGCCUACGCUGGGCUAUACACUUCCCGUAGUGACCUUUGAGCUUAUUUAAAUUGGCUGGUUGCAAUUGGACUAAUAACGGAUUGGCUAAUCAUGCAUGCAUAGCACAGACCAGCAUCUAUUGCUGAAAUGCGUAACAUACAGAUUCGCCUGUCUGGAUGUUUUACCCAAGGCACCAAAUAUCAUCUAUUGUUAUCAUACAUUGCUGUCAUACAUAACAUACAAAUUCACCUGUCUGGAUGUUUUACCCGAGGCACCAACCACCAUCUGUUGUUAUCGUACAUAUUUAUCUAUCUGGAUGUUUUACCCGAGGCACAGACCGUCUGGAUGUUUUAUCCGGGUCGAUGACUGCAUGGGUGAUGACCCCUAUGUCCGUCUGGAUGUUUUAUCCGAGACUGAUUGCAUUCACGCAUCCAUGCAUCUAAUAAGACUGCAUUUACUUUGUUUUGGUUGUCUAGAUGUUUUAUACAAUUUCUUACCUAAUACGGCGGUGUGUAAUCUUGAGAAAAAUUCACACUGAGUUGGCCACUCAUCCAUCAAAUAUACAACCGUACAGGUAGCACAUGUGGCCCUGAUGAUGUUCACAUUCAUACUGGUGAGGAGCAGGCCAUGGUUGACAAUGGUGUAUGAUUAUAAUUGCUAAGGGUUGCUACAAGAUUUCACAGCUCAAGAUUGUUGCAAUUUACUUUGUUUCACAUGUAAUGUUAUUUCAUUUUGUAUUGAUAAGAAUGGAGACAUUGGUUUGUAUAAGUCAUUAUGGGCACUCCCUUAUAUACUCUAAAUGAAACUUGAAAUU
Long non-coding RNA from Magnolia sinica, 1595 nucleotides. RefSeq lists it as uncharacterized. The record is from RefSeq and is a predicted model, not a curated record. NCBI's taxonomy places the organism in Eukaryota, Viridiplantae, Streptophyta, Magnoliopsida, Magnoliales, Magnoliaceae. The transcript has 2 exons.